RNAcentral lists this ribosomal RNA (253 nucleotides) under uncultured bacterium. Its description in RNAcentral is "partial 16S ribosomal RNA". It matches the Rfam family "Bacterial small subunit ribosomal RNA", at positions 524 to 776 of the family's 1533-position model. The record is from RNAcentral.
UACGUAGGGGGCAAGCGUUGUCCGGAAUCAUUGGGCGUAAAGCGCGUGUAGGCGGCCCGGUAAGUCCGCUGUGAAAGUCGAGGGCUCAACCCUCGAAAGCCGGUGGAUACUGUCGGGCUAGAGUGCGGAAGAGGCGAGUGGAAUUCCUGGUGUAGCGGUGAAAUGCGCAGAUAUCAGGAGGAACACCGAUGGCGAAGGCAGCUCUCUGGGCCUGUUCUGACGCUGAGGAGCGAAAGCUGGGGGAGCGAACAGG